Molecule: transfer RNA, 62 nt
Filed under: Chlamisus sp. N29
Lineage: Eukaryota; Metazoa; Arthropoda; Insecta; Coleoptera; Chrysomelidae
Description: tRNA-Cys
Source: RNAcentral
AGCUUUGUAUUCAAAAUGAUUUUAGGUUGCAAAUCUAAAGGUGGAUUUUAAUCCCAAGGCUU